UAAGAGCUUACCAAGGCGACGAUCGGUAGCUGGUCUGAGAGGACGAUCAGCCACACUGGGAUUGAGAACGGCCCAGACUCCUACGGGGGGCAGCAGUGAGGAAUUUUCCGCAAUGGACGAAAGUCUGACGGAGCAACGCCGCGUGCAGGAGGACGCUUUUCGGGGUGUAAACUGCUUUUCCCAGGGAAGAGAGCGGACGGUACCUGGGGAAGAAGCCCCUGCUAACUACGUGCCAGCAGCCCGCGGUAAUUCGUAGGGGGCGAGCGUUGUCCGGAGUUACUGGGCGUAAAGGGCAUGCAGGCCGUCCUACUC
RNAcentral lists this ribosomal RNA (312 nucleotides) under uncultured soil bacterium. RNAcentral's name for it is "bacterial SSU rRNA". It matches the Rfam family "Bacterial small subunit ribosomal RNA", at positions 258 to 586 of the family's 1533-position model. The record is from RNAcentral.